Molecule: unclassified non-coding RNA, 2703 nt
Filed under: Hevea brasiliensis (rubber tree)
Lineage: Eukaryota; Viridiplantae; Streptophyta; Magnoliopsida; Malpighiales; Euphorbiaceae
Source: RNAcentral
GUCGAUGGGGGUAAAACACCACUUAAACAUCAAAUAUCUAAAAUUAAGGUGAUUACAACUGAAAAUCGCUUGCAAUUUCCCAUCUCAAGGCUGAGAACAAGUUUUCAGUCACAUUCACAACAAAGUUUAAUCCUCAGCAGGAGGAGGCAACACAACACCACAAACAACUACGAAUCCUAAGAGUUCAGUUAGUGACAUUUCCCAGCAUAUCAUUACUCAUUUAAAAAUUGCCCGGGCAGCGGUUGAAGAAAAUAUUCAUGAAAUUAAAGACAGCUACUGCAGUUACCCAGCUCUUGAACAAUAGCUUCCAUAGAUGGUCUUUCAAUAGGAGAUUCAUGAGCGCAAAGCCAAGCAAUUCUUGCAAGCUUAGCUGCUUCAUAUUCGUCGAACCUCCCAUGCAGAUUGGGGUCAAUGUAAUCUUGGAAAGUGCAAGACUCAGCUGCUAGACGUACUAAGUUUGUAACUUCUCGCUUCCCUGAGAGAACUUGGAAAACAAUCACCCCAAAUGCAUAUACAUCACUUUUGUCAGUGAAUCGGCCAGUUGCUGCAUACUCAGGAGCUAGGUAACCCAUUGCAGCACUGGCCUUGAGGGCUGAGAAUACAAUGUCAUUUGUAAGAAGGUUCUGCAAACCAGAAUCUGCGAGCAAUGGAUAGCGUCGCUGGUCUAAAAGCACUUUUUGAGCUGUAAUGUUUUGGUGAAUCAAAGCAGGCUUGUUCACCUUGUACCCAUGCAAGUAGGCUAUACCUUUGGCAAUCCCCUUGACAAUAGAGACUCUGGUGGACCAUUCGAGCACACAGCCAUCACCAUCCUUCACAUCAAGGUACUGCAGCAAAUUACCAUUGGGAACAAAAUCAUAAAUGAGAAAGCACUCCCCACGGCCCCUUGAACAACAAAAUCCUCUCAACCUCACUAAAUUCUUAUGCCUCAGCGAGGUCAAAAUAUUCAAUCCCUUCAAAAAUUCAGCCUCCUCCGACUUGCAGCUAGUUUUACUAAUGCUCUUGAUAGCAACAACAGAGCCAUCUCUCAAAAUUCCCUUGUAUGUUGCAGAAAAGUUACUCUUACCCAACAAAUUCACUUCUGAGAAGUACUGUGCAGCAGUCUCCACCUCAUCCAAGUUGAACAUGAAGCUCCGGAAGACAUCUUCCUCAUGCCCACUGAAAUUCCUACCAUCCGCUAAAGGAUCCCAUCCAUUAGAGUACUCAAGACUGAUUAGAGGAGAGCCAUUCUUCCUGUAAACCCCCUUGGCCUGAUCUGUACUUGGACGACUAUCAGAAAUUUCAAAUGAGCUACCAAGCUUCUGCUUUUGGCGACGGUACUGAGUAAAUGUCAGAAUUCCUAUAACGGACAAUGCAAUAGUCAAGAUGAUUGUGCCAACAACAACUGCAGCCUGAUGGGUUCUCGAUGAAUUUGAACAGUGCGUUUGGUUGCAAGGCAGCUGCAAAUUUGCAGUUUCAGGAAUCUCCCUUGUUGGCAAACCAGUCGAAUCUGGUCCAAAGGGUUCAGGUCUGCUCGGAUUAAUAUGAUCUGAUGCAUUGCAAGCUUUCAAAUUCAUAAAACCAGCCCCACAUAAUCCCAGGUUGUUUUGGUAUAAGAAUCCGUCACUCAGUCUCUUAAGAGCCAGUGGUACAUUGCCAGAGAGAGAGUUGUUCCGGACAUCCAGAACUUCAAGCAGAGGAGCAUCGGCUAGUUUGGUAGGAAUCGAACCAAAGAAACUAUUAAAACUUAAAUCUAGUCUCAUCAACACGCCCAUAUCACCUAAACUUGCAGGGAUUGCACCAGUGAGUUGAUUGGAUUGCAGAGCAAGAACAUUCAGCUUCUUCAAAGAUCCUAACUGGGUGGGUAUGCUUCCGGUGAACUGGUUAUAACAAAGCUGCAAAACUUGCAAAUUCUCCAUGUCUCCGAUCUCAGGAGGUAUUUCUCCAGAGAGAUUAUUCACAUUCAAGUACAAGUCACUAAGCCCCUUCAAGUUAGCUAUUUCCUUGGGCAUCUUACCAUACAGAGAGUUAUAAUGCAAGUAGAGGCCUGUCAAGUGCAUUAACCCAGCAAUAGCAGGAGAUAGCUUCCCACGGAGCCCCUUUCCCUGCAAGGAAAUAUUAGCCACUUGACCAUAAUCGUUGCAGGCUAUACCCUCAAAGGAACCAUCACAUGGGUCGCCAUUGUUGGUCCAUGAAGAUAGGUACUUGUCCUCGGGGUCCAAGGCAGCUUUCAUGUCCAUGAGCGCUCUUAGCUCGGUGUUUGCACGAACCCGAGUUUCCUUGGACAUGAAAACAAAGAAAGCAAAGAGGAAAACAGCAAGACUCAUUUCUGAUUUUAACUCAAUAUGGAGGAUAAGCUCUCCCUAAACAAGCUGCCCCGGUUUUGAGCUUCCUCUCUAUGUCUCUCCAGAUUCUGUUGUGGUCACAGAUUUGCUCCUCUAUUUGAAUGUUUGUCCUUUGUAAGCCUGGCGAGCGAGCAAAAGUAACCUCUCUCUCUCUACUUUGUAAGCUAGUAGUCUGUUUCUAAUUGGCAUAAGAGAAGAUGAUAGCAGUCCACAGACAAGGUUGGCAGGGGGCAUCCAUAAUUGUUUUAGUGUAAAGAAGCACCAUAUGGGAAAACUCAAAAAGAGAAGAAAAGAUUCAAUUUUUAUUGUACGCCGUCCGAUUAUCUGACUUUGGUUGGAUGAGUAUAGGGUCUUGAAAUGCUCGGCUACAUGGUAAUGUUCU